UUCCUUUUACCUUACUUGCAGUGCUAUUCCUGGUUUUUCAUGACUAGUGAUCAAUAACACAGUAAAAGAGGGGUUUGUUCAUUGUUGCAGAGGAAAAACAUGGUGUUAUUAU
Molecule: non-coding RNA, 112 nt
Organism: Tinamus guttatus (white-throated tinamou)
Lineage: Eukaryota; Metazoa; Chordata; Aves; Tinamiformes; Tinamidae
Source: RefSeq, a predicted model, not a curated record